CCUACGGGAGGCUGCAGUCGAGAAUCAUUCACAAUGGGGGAAACCCUGAUGGUGCGACGCCGCGUGGGGGAAUGAAGGUCUUCGGAUUGUAAACCCCUGUCAUGUGGGAGCAAAUUAAAAAGAUAGUACCACAAGAGGAAGAGAUGGCUAACUCUGUGCCAGCAGCUGCGGUAAUACAGAGGUAUCAAGCGUUGUUCGGAAUCACUGGGCGUAAAGCGUGCGUAGGCUGUUUCGUAAGUCGUGUGUGAAAGGCGCGGGCUCAACCCGCGGACGGCACAUGAUACUGCGAGACUAGUGUAAUGGAGGGGGAGGCGGAAUUCUCGGUGUAGCAGUGAAAUGCGUAGAUAUCGAGAAGAACACUCAUGGCGAAGGCGGGUUCCUGGACUUUAACUGACGCUGAGGCACGAAGGCCAGGGGAGCGAAAGGGAUUAGAUACCCGAGUAGUC
RNAcentral lists this ribosomal RNA (446 nucleotides) under uncultured bacterium. RNAcentral describes it as "partial 16S ribosomal RNA". It matches the Rfam family "Bacterial small subunit ribosomal RNA", at positions 338 to 795 of the family's 1533-position model. The record is from RNAcentral.